CCCCCAAAAAACGGAGCCAACUCUUCCAAUAAUGUAGUACCAAAAACGACUUCUAGCCCAGGUCUGUAUAACAUAAGGCCCAGGGGACAGAUCAGGCCUGCAGGGACUUUUUUUGCUGGCCCCCAGGUAGGAAUGCCUUGCAGCAGGACAUUCCUAGGAUUGCAUGCCAAGAACUGCAGUCUGAAAGAAAUUGUAGUGAAAGGAGAGGUAUUCAUUUGGGAGUGUCAUAUGGAACUUGACAUUUGUUUGGGGCUGGCCUGGCCCCAUUCCAGGAGCCCCACUGACUGAGCAGGGACAGGGACUAUUUUAUGGCCACGAUCCUUGGUUAAAAUUGUGGGUCUCUUGAUAGGGGAAAAGAUCCAUAAGAAACGAAUAAUUUAUUUCAUUAAUGAUUUCAGUAAUUAAUUUUAUUGAACUAGUGUGCAGUGAAAAUUGAUUACGGCUCUUGUAUGCCAAGUCAUGGUCAGUUCUGGCCUACUGGCACAUUUGGGUUGUGCUCCCCUGGGCUAGCCCUUCCACCCCACCAUGCCCCACACCUUUGCUGGGAGGUGUACAAAAAGCCAGGCUAGGGAGUCUGAGAGAGAUAAUUCCACAAUCAGUGCUGCCUCCAAUUACUUCUGGCAGACUCUCAGUUCCAGAUGAACUGGCUGUAGUUGGUGAAAGCUUCUGCCACAGAAAACUGAUGUGUCCUAAAGGUGUCGCAACAUAAGAACAGCCCUGCUGGAUCAGGCCCAAGGCCCAUCUAGUCCAGCAUCCUGUUUUGCACAGUGGCCCACCAGAUGCCGCUGGAAGCCACAGGCAGGACUUGAGGGCCUGCCCUCUCUCCUGCUGUUACUCCCCUGUAACUGGUUCUCAGAGGCAUCCUGCCUUUGAGGCUGGAGGUGGCCUGUAGCCCUCCAACUAGUAGCCGUUGAUAGACCUCUUCUAUCAUUUGUCCAAACCCCUCUUAAAGUCUUCCAGGUUGUUGGCUGUCAUCACAUCUUGUGGCAGAGAAUCCCACAAGUUGAUUAUGUGUUGUGUGAAAAAAUACUUCCGUUUGCUGAUCCAAAAUUUCCUGGUAAUCAAUUUCAUGGGAUGACCCCUGGUUCUUGUGUUAUGUGAGAGAGAGUAUUUCUCUCUGUCCACUUUCACCACACCAUGCAUGAUUUUAUAGACCUCUAUCAUCUCUCCCCGCUGUCAUCUUUUUUCUAAACUAAAUAGCCCCAGGUGUUGCAGCCUUGCCUCAUAAGCAAGGUGCUCUAGGCUCCUGAUCAUCUUGGUUGCCCUCUUCUACACCUUUCCCAGUUCUACAAUGUCCUUUUUUAGAUGUGGUGACCAAAAUCUGUUGGCUUUGCAGCCGCCCAGCUACCCCUCUGGAAGAUCCUGCUUGGCAACGUCUUGACCAGCAACUGCCUCUGCCUGUGUUGUGUUGGGCAGCAGGAGUACUGGCCAGGUUCAAGCAGGCCUCUCAAGAGCCCCAAACACUAUCUGUGCUGGUUUUACUUAGUCUUUUUUUUGGACCAGUUAGGCUCCUGUAGUUGCCUUGCUGCUUUGGCUGAUGGGUGGAGUUUUAUUCCAUAGGCGUUACGCAGCAACAAACUGAUUCCCAUAGAUCAGGCCUGCUCAACUUAGGCCCCCCAGCUGUUUUUGGACUACAACUCCCAUAAUUCUCAGCCACAGCAGCCAAUAGCCAGGAAUUAUGGGAAUUGUAGGCCAACAUCUGCAGGAGGGCCGAAGUUGAGCAGGCCUGCCAUAGAUACAGAAUGGAAGAGCUACUGCUGAAAAUCUGUGGGGCUAUUCACACGCAUAGGCAAAACCAGACUAAGGAAGCGCAACUUUCCCGGCAGUGGUGCAGCAGCAAACCCUGUAGGGAGCCCUGGCUGUUAGUGCGAGCACAUUCUUACCCCUGACUAACUGAUCGUGUGUCGGUGCUGUGUGGCUCCACAUGGCACCUACACUCAAGUAGCCUCCUGGCCUGCGUCCCAUAAUCGUGCAGUGCAUUGUGGGAGUUCCGGGCUUCCCAGCUCCAAAACCUCCCGGUGACUGUCUGGGUGAGCGCAGCCAGACCACAAGGAUCCUCUCUGGGAAAGGGUCGUCAAGACAAGCCACCCUCACAUACAUCAAAGAGCGAACACUAUAGCACAUCAAAAUCCUGAAUUAAAAGUUGUUGCUCUCCAGCCAGGAAUAUUUCCACCCUUGACUAAAAGUAUUAGUUUAUGAAAUGCAUCAAUCACUGGACCGAGUCACUAUCAGACGCUAAAACCACCUUCUGACCAAUUAAGCUGAUCAAAUGGACUUUCACAUUUGGCAUUCCCUUUAUUGUCAAUGCUACAAUUUGCAACCAUUUUAGACAGUGCUAACAUUGGCCCCUAGACCACCUUAUCUAGCAGCUGCAUCUCCCAGAACGCAAUGGUUUUUCAAUAUAUUGCAAUUAUACUAAUUGAAUGUAUUGCUUUAUUUUCCCAAUUCCCUGUCAAUGUGCAAUUUCUAAUUCUCUUUUUAAUAAAUUUGAUUGAUUUUCA
Long non-coding RNA from Hemicordylus capensis (graceful crag lizard), 2501 nucleotides. RefSeq lists it as uncharacterized. Lineage: Eukaryota; Metazoa; Chordata; Lepidosauria; Squamata; Cordylidae. The transcript has 2 exons. The record is from RefSeq and is a predicted model, not a curated record.